CCAGUGUAAUUUUUCUGACAAAACGGUUGGUUCAAAAUUUUUAAAAUUUUUAUAUUUUUGUUAAAGGGUCAAAGUAAAUAUUUUGACAAAAUUUUAUGAAAAUUAAACGAGCCAAAUUAGUUUUAGUGAAAGUGUUGGGUACCACCUUCAAAAUCAAAUAAAAUCAAGUAUUAGAGUCUAGAGAAGAAUGAAUGUCUCUGUUUUCUAGUGUAUAUCACAAGCUAUUUAAAAGUCAUGUACACAUGAUUUGUGGAAUAAAAUAGUGAUACAAUGAAUUACAGCAGGAAAUUAAAAUUUUCUUCAAUGGGUUCAUAACAUACAUUUUACUUGAGCAGAAACUAGAUAAAAUACUACAUUCAUUUCAAUUGUUCUAUUUUAUAGAAAGUAUAAGAAGAUAAUUUUGUUUCAAAUACAAAGUAGGUACAUAUUAGCAUCAUGAUGAAUUCUGAUCACAUUGUAUUACUCUGUAUACUAAAGCUAUUAAGAUGUAAAAUAAUUGAUCCAUUUGUCACUCAUGUUACAUUUUUAGCCAUUGGUCAAGUGGUUCUAUCAGAGCAGAACUUUUUUUUGUUUGAAAAAGUUCAUAUAAACUGAAACCAAGAGAUGAAAAAACAUAGCACACAUUGCCCAUAGGCCACUGAAGGUGACUUAAAAACGUUUGCUGAACAAAUACCAAAAUAAGAUACAGAAUUUACAGAAUUUUGAAAGAAAUAAAAAUUGGUAAAAUAUUGC
RNAcentral lists this long non-coding RNA (732 nucleotides) under Mytilus galloprovincialis (Mediterranean mussel). The record is from RNAcentral. Lineage: Eukaryota; Metazoa; Mollusca; Bivalvia; Mytilida; Mytilidae.